Pelobates cultripes (western spadefoot toad) is the source of this 371-nucleotide non-coding RNA. Lineage: Eukaryota; Metazoa; Chordata; Amphibia; Anura; Pelobatidae. The record is from the annotation of a GenBank genome assembly.
UUAUCACGCAUUCAUGGCCAAACUAGACCUAGCCAUGUCAACCACACCUACUGGGAGAUACUUCCAGUUAUGCGAUUAGGUUGGUUGGUAGCUCUGUCCCCAUGCUGAGACAGCCCAGCAGGUUCACCCUGGUAUAAUUCACUCACUCAAUGUUUGUAUGACACCUCGACACAUAGACUACCCCAUCUGUCAGUUUGCGCAGACUGUCUAUCUGCUGUACCGUACCAUUACUUACCCGCUAACAUAUUACACUUGAACACAACUACCGUAUAAAAAAUGUGCAGAUUCCACAAAUGUCAUGACCAUGCUUAUCCUGAAAUGAUUGCAUUGGCCUGUCUCUGCUUUUAUGGCUCAACAAGCAUGUUUGUACA